UACGGAGGUGGCAGGCAAUACUCGGAUUGAUUGGGUGUAAAGGGUGCGUAGGUGGCAAUUUAAGUCGAAUGUGAAAGCCCCUGGCUUAACCAGGGAACUGCAUUCGAAACUGCUUUGCUUGAGUGACAGAGAGGAAGAUGGAAUUCCCGGUGUAACAGUGAAAUGUGUAGAUAUCGGGAGGAACACCAGUGGCGAAGGCGAUCUUCUGGCUGUCCACUGACACUGAUGCACGAGAGCUAGGGGAG
RNAcentral lists this ribosomal RNA (245 nucleotides) under uncultured bacterium. RNAcentral describes it as "partial 16S ribosomal RNA". It matches the Rfam family "Bacterial small subunit ribosomal RNA", at positions 524 to 768 of the family's 1533-position model. The record is from RNAcentral.